UACGUAGGGGGCGAGCGUUGUCCGGAUUUAUUGGGCGUAAAGAGCUCGUGGGCGGCUGUUCGAGUCGGGGGUGAAACCCCAGGGCUUAACUCUGGGACUGCAUCCGCUACUGGGCGGCUUGAGUCUGGUAGGGGGAUCUGGAAUUCCUGGUGUAGCGGUGGAAUGCGCAGAUAUCAGGAGGAACACCGGUGGCGAAGGCGGGAUCCUGGGCCAGUACUGACGCUGAGGAGCGAAAGCGUGGGGAGCAAACAGG
This 253-nucleotide ribosomal RNA is filed under the name uncultured bacterium. RNAcentral describes it as "partial 16S ribosomal RNA". It matches the Rfam family "Bacterial small subunit ribosomal RNA", at positions 524 to 776 of the family's 1533-position model. The record is from RNAcentral.